RNAcentral lists this ribosomal RNA (252 nucleotides) under uncultured bacterium. RNAcentral's name for it is "partial 16S ribosomal RNA". It matches the Rfam family "Bacterial small subunit ribosomal RNA", at positions 524 to 776 of the family's 1533-position model. The record is from RNAcentral.
UACGUAGGUCCCGAGCGUUGUCCGGAUUUAUUGGGCGUAAAGCGAGCGCAGGUGGUUUAUUAAGUCUGGUGUAAAAGGCAGUGGCUCAACCAUUGUAUGCAUUGGAAACUGGUAGACUUAAGUGCAGGAGAGGAGAGUGGAAUUCCAUGUGUAGCGGUGAAAUGCGUAGAUAUAUGGAGGAACACCGGUGGCGAAAGCGGCUCUCUGGCCUGUAACUGACACUGAGGCUCGAAAGCGUGGGUAGCAAACAGG